This 497-nucleotide ribosomal RNA is filed under the name uncultured bacterium. Its description in RNAcentral is "partial 16S ribosomal RNA". It matches the Rfam family "Bacterial small subunit ribosomal RNA", at positions 28 to 507 of the family's 1533-position model. The record is from RNAcentral.
GAUGAACGCUGGCGGCGUGCCUAAUACAUGCAAGUCGAGCGAACAGAUAAGGAGCUUGCUCCCUUGACGUUAGCGGCGGACGGGUGAGUAACACGUGGGUAACCUACCUAUAAGACUGGAAUAACUCCGGGAAACCGGGGCUAAUGCCGGAUAACAUUUAGAACCGCAUGGUUCUAAAGUGAAAGAUGGUUUUGCUAUCACUUAUAGAUGGACCCGCGCCGUAUUAGCUAGUUGGUAAGGUAACGGCUUACCAAGGCAACGAUACGUAGCCGACCUGAGAGGGUGAUCGGCCACACUGGAACUGAGACACGGUCCAGACUCCUACGGGAGGCAGCAGUAGGGAAUCUUCCGCAAAGGGCGAAAGCCUGACGGAGCAACGCCGCGUGAGUGAUGAAGGUCUUCGGAUCGUGAAACUCUGUUAUUAGGGAAGAACAAAUGUGUAAGUAACUGUGCACGUCUUGACGGUACCUAAUCAGAAAGCCACGGCUAACUACGUG